Molecule: ribosomal RNA, 468 nt
Filed under: uncultured bacterium
Lineage: Bacteria
Description: partial 16S ribosomal RNA
Rfam family: Bacterial small subunit ribosomal RNA
Source: RNAcentral
GACGAACGCUGGCGGCGUGCUUAACACAUGCAAGUCGAACGGAAAGGCCCUGCUUUUGUGGGGUGCUCGAGUGGCGAACGGGUGAGUAACACGGGAGUAACCUGCCCUUGACUUUGGGAUAACUUCAGGAAACUGGGGCUAAUACCGGAUAGGAGCUCCUGCUGCAUGGUGGGGGUUGGAAAGUUUCGGCGGUUGGGGAUGGACUCGCGGCUUAUCAGCUUGUUGGUGGGGUAGUGGCUUACCAAGGCUUUGACGGGUAGCCGGCCUGAGAGGGUGACCGGCCACAUUGGGACUGAGAUACGGCCCAGACUCCUACGGGAGGCAGCAGUGGGGAAUAUUGCACAAUGGGCGGAAGCCUGAUGCAGCAACGCCGCGUGCGGGAUGACGGCCUUCGGGUUGUAAACCGCUUUCGCCUGUAACGAAGCGUGAGUGACGGUAAUGGGUAAAGAAGCACCGGCUAACUACGUG